GUGCAGCUGUACCUGUCCAAGCUGCGCCGCCUGCUGCCGGCCGCGCGCGCGCCGCGCCGCCGCCGCCUGUCGCGGCUCCAGGUCAUCCACCACGUCAUCGACUACAUCUGUGACCUUCAGCACGCGCUGCUGCGCCACCCCGCCGUCGCCGCCUCCGCCCACGCCGCCUACGUGCCCUGCGCGCCGCCCACGCCCCCGGCCACCCCCGUCUCGGAGGACCGGCUCGACGACGACGAGGACCUCUGCGCGACCUGCAGUCGACAGAGUUCGUGCACCGAGGAGGAGAUGGGCCCCGAGAGUUAGCACAGUGUGACGCAAAGCGUGUCCUGCGCCCUGCCGCGGCAGGACUGCUGACGUCACCUGUGACGUCGCCAGCUGCACUCGCCGUCCUCGCCCUUAACGCUGGCCGUGUGGCUUACAAUAGAGGCUGUGACUAAUCAGGAACUCCAGGACCGGUCUCCAGCUCCCUCGCCACUUCUCCAGAAGGAGUACACCCGUCAGCAAUGGUUGUCGUCACAUCCUAGAAAUACUGUGCUUUACUCGCACAGUCAAUUUGAAAUCUUAUUUGGUUAGCUAUCUAAGUUUGCCCUCUUCAACGAAAAAAACUAAAAGAUAUCAUUCUUGACUCUGUUAUUAGUUAUUAUGUUAACUUCUCUUAUUAUGCCCACUGCCUCCACUGUAAUUCACUCCAGUUUUAAUAUUUGAUGGAAAUGCCUUUCGAAAUAUUUCGUUGAUCCCGUCACUGCAGCAACCAAUAUCUACAUGCAAAUAUGAAAUUCCUGGUUUUUAGUGUAAAUUGAAAAUUAAUUGCAGGGUUAUCAAUGAGUUCCAUCAAACUUGAUAUCAACCUGCAAACUACUUGUUAUAGGUUACAUAUUUUGAAGUCAAUGAGGAAAUUUUUUCUUCCCAUUGGGGAAUCUGUGUGUUUCUGAAGAAGUCAUGGGAAUUAAGUCUAAGUUUUUUUUUUUUUUUGCACCAGAAGACACUUUUGGUAUACAUUUUUUGGGUUAAGUACCACAACUUCAUCUGAUCAAGUGUUAGUGUGACACAGUUCACAAUGGAAUGCAGUGACCAAAAGUUACCUUGUUUCUGUCUACUGACUGUUACAUUUCUACUUCCAGUAUGUACUUUGUAUAAUGACUAGCUGCAUUUAUUCCAUGUGACCAAACUACCUGUGAUCUAUUUCAUAAUUACUGGGUUGACUGAACAUUGCUGUUUUUAUUUGUGUAAAUUUGUGCCUCUUUACAAUUAGGAGGACAUGGAUACAGUGCUCACUUGAUCAUUAGUAGAAGGGAUGGAUUCUGCUUAGCUAAUGAAGAGUAAUUUUGCAUAAUUUGAAACAUGUGAAAAGUACAUUCCUUGAGAGGUAAUGUUACUGACAGAAAUUCUAAGAGUAAUUGUUAUAGAACUGUAGAAGUGACAGCAUGUAAACAUGUACUGCUGUUCAGUUUAUUUAAAUGAAGAAUAAAAUGAUACAAUUUAUAAAAGCUAUGCAACACCGUAAAAAAAUAUUGUAAUUUGUCAGUGUUUGUCAGUUACUCUUACACUCUAAAUUCAAGUUACAGCCUAAUUUUCCAAAACAGCUCUCAUAAUUCUCUCCCCAGUUUAACAAAGUGGUGAAACAGAUAACUAUAUAUGAUGUAAGAGUUAAAAUAUUUGCUGGAGAUGACUUAUUAGAAGUGAAGAAUCAACAAUAGUACAACUUGGUAGCUACUUGCUACUUAACUAUAGUCUCCAUGAAUCACUAUGCAUGUGGCAGGUAACAAAAGACUUAUGCUUGAUGUGAAUGAAAAAGAACACUACCUUUUAUUUUAUUGUGAAAUUUUCAAAUCUCUUCAAGUGACUGGGGCAUUCAAUGCACCUAGGAAAAGAAAGCCAUUAGGGGUACAUCAUUGCAGAGAUACAAGAAGAAGACUAUUAUUUAUAAUUUUUGUGUAUAUAAUGAAAUUUAUAAAAAUAUGUAAAAUGAUAGAUAGAGUAUUGUAUAUUAAGACAGAUAUAGAAAGCAAUAUAAUGUAUUUUAUGGGAUAACAAAUAAAGCUUAAACAAUGAAAAUCUU
Long non-coding RNA from Schistocerca nitens (vagrant locust), 2059 nucleotides. RefSeq lists it as uncharacterized. The transcript has 2 exons. NCBI's taxonomy places the organism in Eukaryota, Metazoa, Arthropoda, Insecta, Orthoptera, Acrididae. The record is from RefSeq and is a predicted model, not a curated record.